CUGACUGAGCCGCCCAGGCGCCCCUGGGGCAACAGAGUUUUAAAUAAACCAGCCUGAUUCUUUCCCAACAAUCUUCCCAUUCCUGCUUUUUUUUUCCCCCCUGUGUAUCUCUGAUUUCUUAACCAUCAUGUUUUUUAAACCUCCUUCAAUCGCCCUGAGACCUCAGCCUUUCAAUUUUCCUCUCUGCAUGCCCAAUGCUAAUCCUUUCAUCAUCAUUAUUGCCUCCCAGAUGUCCUGAGGCAACAACCUUCAUUAGAAGAUGACGUCAUAGCCUUCUCUUUGCGGCCUUUUGCCCCAGGACCCUCCCCGGUCUUGCCAAAGUUAUAUUAAUUCUGUGGUCAUGGUUGUGCAUGGAGGUGUGCAUGGUGCGCGUCACGUGCACUGGAGAGAUGGUCACCAAAAUGUCACCAGGGGCCACCUCUGAGAUUUGAGGUGAUUUUCACUCAGUUUUUUAAGCUUUUCUGUAUGGCUUCAACUUGCUAAUUUAACUGAGAAUUGCAUCAGAUACAUACUGCUAUAGUAAUGCUGCCCAUGGGACAAUGGUUGGCCAGGUGACUCUGCUGGCCUUGGCUGGGCUCUUGCAUGUCUGGGCAUGGCUGGCUGUUGGCCAAUCUAGACUGGUCACGGCUUGACAGAUGAAGCAACUCUACUCCACAUUAUCUCUUAUCCUGUGCAUGGGCCCAGCCUUGAGGCAUCCUCGUGGCAAGGGCAGAAAUACAAAUAAAUCCAAUCUUGGAAGCAAACCAUGCUUCUGCACCCCCCUCCCCACCCCCCCGCCAUCACAUCUGCUAACAUCCUAUUGGCCAGAACGAGUCACAUGGUGGAGCUUGGAGUCCAAGUCAGAGGCACCGGUGAGUUACACGUCAGGGAGGGUGUCUAGGGAGGGUUAAGAGAGACCAUCAUUGCAACUGCCUACAACACAUGUUCUGUCUUUGUAUAUUCAGAUGCAGUAAGCUGGUUUCACGCAAGAUGGCUGCCAGGGCUCCAGCCCCACAUCCUCCAGGUGGCACAGGCUAAGCUGUCUCCUGUGGCCAGAGAAUGUCCUUGGGUCGAGUCACUGGUGCUUGCAUCCAGAAGCUGGACUGGAAAUCAGUGAAGUAAGGAGUCUAUAGUUCUUCAACCCCAUGUACAUUCCUCCCAGAUGACAGAUCAUAACCAUUGCAACCAACAAAGUGGGUACGUAAUGUCUGUUGGGCUCCUGGGAGAUG
Long non-coding RNA from Herpailurus yagouaroundi (jaguarundi), 1208 nucleotides. RefSeq lists it as uncharacterized. The transcript is spliced from 3 exons. The record is from RefSeq and is a predicted model, not a curated record. Lineage: Eukaryota; Metazoa; Chordata; Mammalia; Carnivora; Felidae.